Molecule: ribosomal RNA, 790 nt
Filed under: Klebsiella pneumoniae IS53
Lineage: Bacteria; Pseudomonadati; Pseudomonadota; Gammaproteobacteria; Enterobacterales; Enterobacteriaceae
Description: SSU rRNA
Rfam family: Bacterial small subunit ribosomal RNA
Source: RNAcentral
UUAAAUUGAAGAGUUUGAUCAUGGCUCAGAUUGAACGCUGGCGGCAGGCCUAACACAUGCAAGUCGAGCGGUAGCACAGAGAGCUUGCUCUCGGGUGACGAGCGGCGGACGGGUGAGUAAUGUCUGGGAAACUGCCUGAUGGAGGGGGAUAACUACUGGAAACGGUAGCUAAUACCGCAUAACGUCGCAAGACCAAAGUGGGGGACCUUCGGGCCUCAUGCCAUCAGAUGUGCCCAGAUGGGAUUAGCUAGUAGGUGGGGUAACGGCUCACCUAGGCGACGAUCCCUAGCUGGUCUGAGAGGAUGACCAGCCACACUGGAACUGAGACACGGUCCAGACUCCUACGGGAGGCAGCAGUGGGGAAUAUUGCACAAUGGGCGCAAGCCUGAUGCAGCCAUGCCGCGUGUGUGAAGAAGGCCUUCGGGUUGUAAAGCACUUUCAGCGGGGAGGAAGGCGCUAAGGUUAAUAACCUUGGCGAUUGACGUUACCCGCAGAAGAAGCACCGGCUAACUCCGUGCCAGCAGCCGCGGUAAUACGGAGGGUGCAAGCGUUAAUCGGAAUUACUGGGCGUAAAGCGCACGCAGGCGGUCUGUCAAGUCGGAUGUGAAAUCCCCGGGCUCAACCUGGGAACUGCAUUCGAAACUGGCAGGCUAGAGUCUUGUAGAGGGGGGUAGAAUUCCAGGUGUAGCGGUGAAAUGCGUAGAGAUCUGGAGGAAUACCGGUGGCGAAGGCGGCCCCCUGGACAAAGACUGACGCUCAGGUGCGAAAGCGUGGGGAGCAAACAGGAUUA